GAUGAACGCUGGCGGCGUGCCUAAUACAUGCAAGUCGAGCGAACAGAUAAGGAGCUUGCUCCUUUGACGUUAGCGGCGGGCGGGUGAGUAACACGUGGGUAACCUACCUAUAAGACUGGGAUAACUUCGGGAAACCGGAGCUAAUACCGGAUAAUAUUUCGAACCGCAUGGUUCGAUAGUGAAAGAUGGUUUUGCUAUCACUUAUAGAUGGACCCGCGCCGUAUUAGCUAGUUGGUAAGGUAACGGCUUACCAAGGCGACGAUACGUAGCCGACCUGAGAGGGGGCGCGCCCACCGUGGAACAGACCCGCGCCCCAGCCUCCGGGGGGGGGCACCAGGGGGGACUCCCCCGAAAGGGGCGAAGGCCGGAGGGACCACCCCCGCGGGGGUGAUGAGGGUUUUAGAAUCGAAAAAUUUUUUUAUGGGGAAAAAACAUACUUGAAAGAAAGGGGCCGCGUCUGCACGGCCCCAAACAAAAACCCCACGCCUACCUCGUGC
RNAcentral lists this ribosomal RNA (497 nucleotides) under uncultured bacterium. Its description in RNAcentral is "partial 16S ribosomal RNA". It matches the Rfam family "Bacterial small subunit ribosomal RNA", at positions 28 to 508 of the family's 1533-position model. The record is from RNAcentral.